Long non-coding RNA from Cygnus olor (mute swan), 1847 nucleotides. RefSeq lists it as uncharacterized. The transcript is spliced from 4 exons. Lineage: Eukaryota; Metazoa; Chordata; Aves; Anseriformes; Anatidae. The record is from RefSeq and is a predicted model, not a curated record.
CUUCUCUUCCCUUCCAUUGACUCAGGUUCAGGAUCUGCAGAAUGUCACUGAAAGCACAGCCUAGAUAUGUGAAGAAUGAGGCAGUAGUGUACUAAGAGUUCUGCUUCGGUCCAGGGUGUCUCUGCUUUCACGGAACUGCGACAGUAUGAUCUCUGCUUGCUUCCGAGAGAAAUAAGGACCUGUAAGGUCUGUGGAAGGGAUGCUCAUACACCCAUCAGCCUUGCUGCUCCCUUUGUCCCUGUCCCCUGGCUCCUGCCUCGCACUCUGGGUUUGCAGGCAGUGUGGCAGAUGUUGAUAAUGGACUCACCCCUCUGCCUGACGUGAUUUUUGUACAACAUUUUCCCUACAACUUGCCUGACCACCCUGAGAAUUAGCUGACCUGAGCAGAAUGUAAAGGGCAGCUAAUUCCCUCUUUUUGACUUGUUAGAGAGCACAAUUACACUAACUAUGUUCGUUUGGAGGGGCAGGGUGGCAAACAGAAAUGCCAUACGAAGAUUGUUUUGCAGGAGUAUAAAGUGGCAGAAGGCCAAGCAAGCUUCCCACAACUAAUCUCUUUAGGGAAGAUGCCAGCCUGAAUGCUCAUGUACUCUCCUCUGUUUGCUGAUUCAUGGCUGGAAUAAGUAUCAGCCUUUUUUUCUGGCUGAAGUUAAUGAGAAGGAAAGGAUACUGGCACUAUCGAGGAAGUAAAAUGGAGCCAGAUUGAAUCAACAAUAUAGAAAUCCACGUGGGUUAGCCCUGAUGCUUGCUUGUGUUUGGCUCUGACUUCCAGUUGUUACUUGCCCUGCUUGCAAUAUUCAAAUAGAUAAGAUUAUUCCUGACUUCUUGUUGGUGACUGCAUGCACACCAUGCCUUAGCACAUGAAACUCUGUGCUUGAGGUGAGGAGCUGGUUUACCUGCUAUACACUGGAGUGAGGCACCACAUAGGCUGGUGAGCACAGUCACACCCAUAACCUCUUCAAAAUUAAAUUAGAGAUAAGUGGUAUGUUUGGGAUGAACAGGGCAAUACAUUUUAAAGAAUCACCUGUGGAUUGCUGAGGAGGAGUCUGUGCUGGAUUUGGACUUCUGGAGAAGGAGUGAAACACUGGCAAAUAUCCCUAAACCCCUAAAACAUGUGAGACAACUAAACUGAGGGUUUAGGGAACCAACUAGCAAAAACCCACAAGAGCACUUCGCAGAUCAGAACAUGAAAAAGGGCUUUUAAUUUUUUUUAACAAACUUUUCUUGUUAACUCCUCUGAAGAAAGGAGAAGGAUUGCUGCACCGAAACUGUGGAAGCCACUGGCUGCAGUGGAACAGCAGAGGGAUGAUGGAGAUGAUGUGGGCUUUGUCAGUCCAAGGGGAGGAGAUUAAGGAAUAAGGAGAUCCUGCCAAUUCUUUAAUGAGGAUUUUUCACUUUAAUUCCAUUCCUCUAAGCUGUAAAAUUAAGAAUAAUAAGAGCCUUCAGUGUUCCCUUCAAAAGGUGGUUAAACAACGUAGAUCUUUUUGGCUAUGUGGAGUCUGCAGAGGGGUGGGAGCCUGUGCUGUCCUGCUACCUCCGCUUCCUCCCUCUGUGUCUGGGCCUCAGAUGAUAUGGCAAUGGCAGAGUGGGGUGAAGCUGUUUACAAAACUGCCAAACACUGUGCCACCAAAGGUACUUCACUUCUGCUUGGGUGCCUACUUGACUUUUUGAGCACAUAAUGAACUAUUAUUUAACCAAAGAAAAUUAAGUCCCAUUUGCCUUAUGUUCUUAAGGAUUCAGAAGAGCAUUUAGUACAAUUAUUGCUAGUACAUUGACAAUCGGUUCUGAGCGAUCUGGAUAAAAACAUCUGCAGUGCUUUCAGUCAAUGUAAUAGAUUAAGAUGAUAAAUC